RNAcentral lists this ribosomal RNA (301 nucleotides) under uncultured bacterium. RNAcentral's name for it is "partial 16S ribosomal RNA". It matches the Rfam family "Bacterial small subunit ribosomal RNA", at positions 509 to 809 of the family's 1533-position model. The record is from RNAcentral.
CAGUAGCCGCGGUAAUACGUAGGUGGCAAGCGUUGUCCGGAAUUAUUGGGCGUAAAGGGCUCGCAGGCGGUUUCUUAAGUCUGAUGUGAAAGCCCCCGGCUCAACCGGGGAGGGUCAUUGGAAACUGGGAAACUUGAGUGCAGAAGAGGAGAGUGGAAUUCCACGUGUAGUGGUGAAAUGCGUAGAGAUGUGGAGGAACACCAGUGGCGGAGGCGACUCUCUGGUCUGUAACUGACGCUGAGGAGCGAAAGCGUGGGGAGCGAACAGGAUUAGAUACCCGGGUAGUCCCUGUCCUUAUACA